AACAGGGAAGAGCCCAGCACCGAAUCUCGCAGUCUGUUGCCGGCUGCAGAGACAUGUGGUGUUCGGGAGGGUCUAAUCUCCCCGCGUUCCUGGGAUAGUUUAAGUCUAACUUGAAUGGAGCCAUGGCCCAUAGAGGGUGCUAGGCCCGUGCGACUAUUCUGGGUUCUCGGGAAGGCCUCUCCUUAGAGUCGGGUUGCUUGAAAAUGCAGCCCUAAGUGGGUGGUAAACUCCAUCUAAGGCUAAA
This 244-nucleotide ribosomal RNA is filed under the name Lepisma sp. MF-1995. RNAcentral's name for it is "partial 28S ribosomal RNA". It matches the Rfam family "Eukaryotic large subunit ribosomal RNA", at positions 96 to 320 of the family's 3401-position model. The record is from RNAcentral. Lineage: Eukaryota; Metazoa; Arthropoda; Insecta; Zygentoma; Lepismatidae.